RNAcentral lists this ribosomal RNA (434 nucleotides) under uncultured bacterium. Its description in RNAcentral is "bacterial SSU rRNA". It matches the Rfam family "Bacterial small subunit ribosomal RNA", at positions 958 to 1392 of the family's 1533-position model. The record is from RNAcentral.
AACGCGAAGAACCUUACCUACCCUUGACAUCCUCGGAAGCCGAAAGAGAUUUCGGUGUGCCUUCGGGGACCGAGAGACAGGUGCUGCAUGGCUGUCGUCAGCUCGUGUUGUGAAAUGUUGGGUUAAGUCCCGUAACGAGCGCAACCCUUGUCCCUAUUUGCCAGCGAUUCGGUCGGGAACUCUAGGGAGACUGCCGGUGACAAACCGGAGGAAGGUGGGGACGACGUCAAGUCAUCAUGGCCCUUACGGGUAGGGCUACACACGUGCUACAAUGGUCGGUACAAAGGGUUGCGAGUCCGCGAGGCCAAGCCAAUCCCGUAAAGCCGAUCUCAGUCCGGAUCGGAGUCUGCAACUCGACUCCGUGAAGUCGGAAUCGCUAGUAAUCGUGAAUCAGAAUGUCACGGUGAAUACGUUCUCGGGUCUUGUACACACCG